GAGUUUAUGGCCGUAAGCUCUCAAACAUAAUGACAUUAUUUGUUUUAAAGUGUUUCUUGAUUUCUAAAAGAAGUUCUACUUGGUGGUUAAAUCCUAGGACUAGUGUAGGGCAUUAAGACACUCCUUUUAGGAGUUUUUGUCCCUAAGGCCAUUUCCUUUUGAGUUUACUGCCAUAAACUCAUAUGGAAGUGGGUAUUUUUAUGUUUUCAAGUCCUUAAUUUCACUAGGAAUAAAACUAGGCUUUUGUACUUGGCUUUAUGAGAGUUUAUGGCACCAUUUGGCACCAUUUAAUGGAGAUCACGGCCCUAGAACCUUUUGGGCCGUGAACACCUUACUCUUGGUGUUCUAAGUGUGUUAGCUAGUCCUAAACUCAUUUAGGUACAUGCCUAAAUUAGUCUCUUAGCUUAAGGAGGGUUUUUAGGGCACUUUGGCACAUAAAAAUGGAGUACACGGCCCAAGAACUUCCUUGGUCGUGAACUCACUUUAACCCUUUGUUUCUAAUUGAUUUUGUGUCCGAAACAUGAAAUGGUGGCUUCUAGUUUGAGUUCCAAGGCUUUGAGGGACAUUGGGACACUUUUGGCCCUUAAAAUGGAGUUUACUCCCCAAGUGUUCUUGGGCGGUAAACUCCCAAAUCUUGGGGUUUUGAUUCGAUUUUGAUGUUUCUAAACACAAUCUAAGCUAUAUAAUAUAACUAGAUCGAAGUACUCACAAUUUGGGAUAAAAACCCGAAGAUCCGUGAGAGAGAAUUUUGGCUUUUCUCUAAUUGGAAAUGUAACUAAUGAAUUAUUUUGGUUCAGAUUUCUAUAUAUAGUCCUGGGAUUUUUGGCAAGAAAAUAUUUUUAUUCCCGGAAUGAACUCUAAUAUCCUAGAGUAUUGGAAUAACAGUGUUGCACAAAACCCUAGUGCAUCCACUCUCCUAAUAUCUCCUUAAGUGUAAAUCCUGAAAAACUGCCAAACUUAUACCUGAAGUCUGGAAUUUCACUGUAGCUGUUCUAACUUCUAUUGGCUUGAUAUGGUUUGUUCAGAAUGGAAAUUUCGGGUUGUCACAUCAUCCCCCUGUUGAAGGGAAUUUCGUCCCGAAAUUAGAAUGUAGGCAAGGAAGUAGGUACGAAUGAUCGAGUCGUGAGGAGGAAACUUCCUAAUCGAUUGGUUCUCGUGCUCCUAAGUGAAAUCGGGUCCUUGUUUGGUAUUCCAACGAACUUUCACUAAUGGGCGAAAGCGUUGCUUCAUCUGCUUGACCACUCGAUUGAGGGUCACUACGGUUCUAAUACGAAGGCGAGGAUCUCGACGAGUAGACUUACAAGAGUCCUAACAGAAAGGUAUGGUUUCACGAUCGAGACGCGAAGAGUAGAAUGUACGUUACUGAGUUCGCGGAGUAGGUCUAGUGUGUGCGAGGUACAGGACCGAUUCUGGUAAGAAUCUCGGAGGUCCUAUUUAUCUUGGAUUUAGCUUUCCACGCUUUAUGAAGCGUAUUAAGCCGUUCCCAGAGUGAGACUUCCUAAAGAAUUUGGUCUCUCACUUGGAAUCUCCAGAGUUUGCUUUUCUUGUUUAACUUCCCAGUCAAGGGCCACUCCUUACUGGGUCAAGGUCGAAAGGGUUUCUGUAAUUUACGAGGAGUUAUGGACAAACUAUGAUAGUAGGUCUGUAAAACCUAGAAUUUGGCGAAUGUAUGUCGGCGUCUCUGGUGUCAACAAAUUCUCAACAGUUUUGACAAAUUGAAAGAGUACUCAAGAAUUUCCACAUCACUAAUAGUCUGUCUUAGGAAAUUUUGACUCUUCAAUUCCAAAACUCGAGUUCAGAGAACUUUGUGAAAAGUAUCUCCGAGGGUGAUGUUUCCAGAGGUUCCUUCUUACCACGAGGUUAGAUAAGUAAGUCAUUACAUGGAGAAAUGACGAACUGAUCCAAGUAAGAAAGACGUACUCAACUCAUUUAGCUCAUGAAAGCUAUGGGCGUAUUGGUCGUAUCCGAAGGGUAUCACUACGGACUCGAAGUGUCCGUAUCGAGUUCGGAAGAUAGUCUUCCGGACAUCCUUCUCUAACACUCGAACUGGUGAUAUUCGGAUCUCAGAUCCAUUUCUGAAAGUAAUUCUUUCCUUGCGUUUGCUCAACCAUUUCAUCUAUGCGAGGCAGAGAUAACGAUUUCUAAUGAAAAAUCUUGACGGAGACCUCGAUAUCCGAGGUACAUACGAUGCAAUCCGUCGAUCUCUGGUAGAAUAUGACCGGGGUUCUCCAGGGUGAGAAGCCUCGUCUUCUUAUUCUAUUUUUGUGUAAUUCGUUAAGUUGUCUGUACUGUUCUUGUAUCUCCAGAGUGUUUAGACUGUAGGGCGAUCCGUUUACGGGAGUCAUACUGGGUUCUAAGUUGGUUCACAUGACGAUGCGAUUACUCGUAUACUUAGGCAAUUCUACGUCCGAAAGUUCAUAUUAGAAUUCAUACAUGGUUUCACUAUCACAAUCUCGUGUAUACGAGUCGUAUAUAAUUAAGAUUGAAAAGGUAGUCGAAUAACUGAUUCUUCUUUAAGCUCACAUCCCAUCGGGGAAAAAGAAGUUAAAGUGGAAUCAUCAAUUCUAAACCUAUAGAACCUUGAUUAUAUAUCACUCUUAUGUAUACAUUCCUCAGUGAUAGAUCAAUCGUAUGAAUCCUUGGAUUGAACUUGACGUACUGCACGAGUGGUACUUCGGGGGUUUCUUCGGAAAAGAAAAGAACUAUGAGGUACUCAAUGCAUGAGUACUUCGCUGUUCUGAUAUGACGGCUUCGUUGGAAAAGCGAUCUAGAAGAAAGAGAUGUACGUAUGAAGCUGAUUGUUUCUUGAGGACGACAUGAUUCUGUUAGCACAAAUGAUAAGGAUUUUGUGAGCAAUUCUGGUUGACCCUAGAUGUACUUCGAUUGCUCAAGAAAAGAGUAAGAGUAUGCUCUCGAAAGGUUGACCUACAUCCCUCUGAUGCAGUCCUAGUACGGAUCGGAGGUAUGAUCGCGAAGGUUUGACCUACAUCCCUAUGAUGCAGUCCUAGUACAUAAUGGAAGUGAGUUUGUAGAAUGGUCUCAAGACGUUUGUCGUUCAAGCCGAGGUAUUGUGGGUUGGUGAAUAACAGGAUCCAACCACUAAGGGAGACUUGGAAAUGUCUCCGGAGCUAAAUUACUAUAAUCCAAUGACUUGACUAAAGCAUGUUUCAGAUAGACUCCAAUGAAAGUAUGAUACGAGUACUUGAACGAAGAAUGACACAGAAGUUAGCCGACUGUCAAUAUCUUUGACAUUCACCACGUAAAGAUUCGGGAAAAUGACCUUAUAAAGGUCUUACAUCAUAUCCAGAGAAGAUAAUUCUUGACAGCAUUAGGACCUAACCUAAAUUACUUACAAUACAAGAUAAUUUCAUAGAAAAUGCCUCAUCGGGAAAAGACAGAAAACGAUUACUUUCUAACAAGGAAAGUAAGGUAAAGAAUCUACUACUGGCGACGGUCAUCCCUCAGGUGAACUCUCAAUUCAGCCAGUUGACGUUCUACAUCAAGUAGAUGUCUUUCGUACACCCUUUGGCAUACUUGGAGCUCUAUAACUUUGGCUCGAGAUUCAGCUAGUGCUUGAAGCAGGGUUUCAUGGUUUCUCUCUGAUCUCUCGCGAGUAUCUUCUAGACGAAUGGUGCGGAGGGUAUGCAUUCUCGCAUUGGCGACAACUUCGGUAAUCUGAUGUAGGGCUGUCCUGCCUUGAAUCUCAUUUCGGGCCACUCUGCGGACCAAGAUUGGCAAGAUUCUGUAUGCUGAGCCCCCAUUGCUCAGGUCGUAGAAGCUUCGGUCAACAUUAAAUAGCAUGCGCUAAUCUUUUCCUUGGCUCCAUGUUUCCAAUCAUUCAACCCACUCAGGCGUCGGGCCAUGAAAAGUUGGACAAGGGUUAGGAAUUGGAACGGGAGCUGCAUGUGGUAGGUUCUCAACCUCGGGUUCGGAGUUAGCAUCGUUCGAAAGGUUUUCAUCAUGGUGAGCAUUCAAAGGGAUAGGAUAAUCAUUCUCUGGUUCUUCUCCAAACCAACCAGCAAUGACCUCAUUCAGGAGGUACGAGUUGCCGUGGGGAUGGAGUCCAGCCAUGUUAUCUAUGCGAGAAUUGGGGUAGGAAAAUAAUUGUUAGACGAACCAUCUAGAUAAUUAUUUAGAAAAUAUUCAUCAGUUACAUCGCUAUUUGUGAAGUGCAUACCGGUUAUAUGUAAUUGAAACAAGAUAGGCCUUCGAAUAAGUGACCUUGAAGGCAUGGUUUUGAUAAAACGGUUUAGUAUAAAGAAACAUUUGUUUGAAACACAAUUGUAAAUUAGUUUGAAAUGUAAUAUACAGAGUAAAAUAUACAGUGUACUAAGGAGUUUUAAACAUAUAAAGUGUUUAUGAAAAUCAUUUGAAGGAAACUGUUUGGUAAAACGGUUAAUGAGUAUUAAAUCAUUUAAAUGCUGCUUAUUAAUCACAUGUGAUUGAUAUAAUAAGUAGCAUGAUUCUACUUGUAUCCCCCCCAUAAAACAUUUAAAAAUAGUUAAAACAUUGAUUAAGGGGUAUGAACUCACUUGUGGUGAGUGGAUUGGAUUGAAGUGUCGGAUACUGUUUUAGGUGGCAAACGGAGACUUGUACACACGCACAAGCCUAUUUAUCAUAUAAUGAACAUAUGUAUAACUAAUUAGCCAAAUAAUAACUAAAAAAAUUAAGUUGGGACACUCUAGGACAUGUAAACACUUUGUAUAAGUGUUAUAAGUCCUAAGGGUUACAUCUAAGUUGUUGUAGAACAAGGCUAAAGGGGUUUAAAGUUCCAAAGGACCUUAUAUAAGUGUUUACUCUUCAAUAAACUAUACACAAGGAGUUUACGGUCGUAAACCCUUGAGUUUACGGCCAUAAGCUCUCAAACAUAAUGACAUUAUUUGUUUUGAAGUGUUUCUUUAUUUCUAGAAGAAGCUCUACUUGGUGGUUAAAUCCUAGGACUAGUGUAGGGCAUUAAGACACUCCUUUUAGGAGUUUUCGGCCCUAAGGCCAUUUCCUUUUGAGUUUACUGUCGUAAACUCAUAUGGAAGUGGGUAGUCUUAUGUUUUCAAGUCCUUAAUUUCACUAGGAAUAAAACUAGGCUUUUGUACUUGGCUUUAUGAGAGUUUAUGGCACCAUUAGGCACCAUUUAAUGGAGUUCACGGCCCUAGAACCUUUUGGGCCGUGAACACCUUACUCUUGGUGUUCUAAGUGUGUUAGCUAGUCCUAAACUCAUUUAGGUACAUGCCCAAAUUAGUCUCUUAGCUUAAGGAGGGUUUUUAGGGCACAUUGGCACAUAAAAAUGGAGUUCACGGCCCAAGAACUUCCUUGGACGUGAACUCACUUUCACCCUUUUUUUCUAAUUGAUUUUGUGUCCUAAACAUGAAAUGGUCGCUUCUAGUUUUAGUUCCAAGGCUUUGAGGGACAUUGGGACACUUUUGGCCCUUAAAAUGGAGUUUACUCCCCAAGUGUUCUUGGGUGGUAAACUCCCAAAGCUUGGGGUUUUGAUUCGAUUUUGAUGUUUCUAAACACAAUCUAAGCUAUAUAAUAUAACUAGAUCGAAGUACUCACAAUUUGGGAUAAAAACCCGAAGAUCCGUGAGAGAGAAUUUUGGCUUUUCUCUAAUUAGAAAUGUAACUAAUUAAUU
This 5626-nucleotide long non-coding RNA is filed under the name Lactuca sativa (garden lettuce). Its description in RNAcentral is "long non-coding RNA (LSAT_LNC005115)". Lineage: Eukaryota; Viridiplantae; Streptophyta; Magnoliopsida; Asterales; Asteraceae. The record is from RNAcentral.